AUGAGAUUUGAAGGGGACAAGACCCAAACUAUAUCAGCAACAUCAAGAACGCUCUGUUUGUACUUAGGUACAAAGGUUGUGGCACUGUCCCUAGAAGGCACUACUAAUGUUUUGGGCACCUGGUGUGAUAGAACAGGCCAGUGCUCCAAGCAGGCACACACAGCCAGACUGUAUUUCGCAGCCCCCUUGCCUCAGGCCGUGUGGUCAAGUUCUGACCUAAAGAAUAUGAACAGAUUACUGUACGGCACUACUUAAGCUGUGCCCUCAAAAUCCUCGAAGUCCAGUCUCCUCCGGGACCUCUCUUCCCUCCCCUGCUGGCUGGAUGCAGAGAAUUCAACAGAAGGCUCUGGGGCCCUAGAACCACACGAUGGAAGAAGUCUGAGUGCCCCAGUGACCACUGGGGGAGUACCCUUUCCUCGCCCCCCACCAUGGUCUGUGAUGUGAACAAAAAAUAAACAUUUAUUUUGUUAAGCCACUGAGAUUUGAGGUCUGUUACAUCACUUAGCUUACCUCACGGAUACUGAUAGGAAUGUUUAGAAGUGCUCAACCUCAUCAGAGAAAGGCAAAAUUUAAAAAUGGUACCGCUUCACUUGUUCUCAUUAGACUAGCAAAAAUUAGUAAAGCAGAUCGUUUUAAAAAUUGAGGAUAGGAAUGGGAGGGGGUGUGGUGAUACAGGAAAUCCCACGCACUGCUGGUGAAGAUGUAGUGUAGCCUUGCUGGGGGCAAUCUGGUGGUUCUUAUUCAAAUUAAAUAUGUAGAUACUUUAGGAUUCACCAGUUCUCCUGGAAAUGCAUCCCAUAGGAAUUCUCACACAGGUCUCCGUAUGAAGGAGACAUGGAUGUCUCUGGAAUCAUUGUACUGAGGAGUUGGAAACGAUCUGGGUAUCCAUCACUGGGGGUGUGGAUAAACAAGAGGAGUGCAAAACACGGAGAACUAUGCAGUGGCAUGAAGCACUGGGUCACAUGCACGCACAUAAUGUGAUAGGCCUUUAAUGCCUAGAAUAUGAUGCAAAUAAUAUAUGCAUACACAGCAGCAGUACAUAUUUCACCAAAAUAUGCACAUAAAGAAUAGACAUCAAACACCUUGGCAUGGUUGUCUAUGAAAGGGAAAUGAGAGUGGAAAAUAAAAGGGGAGAAAGAAAAUAUAAUCAUAUGAGUGAAUUUCCUUCCACCGUACAGAUUCUCAGUUAUUCCAAAAGCAUUUUGACAAGAGAUUGAAGACUGACAAUCACAGCUUUUUUUACUUCUGAGGCUUAGUUUUCUUUACAGAAUCUUAUUUCCAUGAGGUUAUUACAUCUAUCCUCAUUUUUUGAAAAAACUUAUAUUCUGCUUUUGCUGCUUUUUCCAAUUUAAUAAGCAUUUUCUUUUAACCACCUGACC
This 1379-nucleotide long non-coding RNA is filed under the name Callithrix jacchus (white-tufted-ear marmoset). RNAcentral's name for it is "lncRNA (ENSCJAG00000081465.1)". Lineage: Eukaryota; Metazoa; Chordata; Mammalia; Primates; Cebidae. The record is from RNAcentral.